Molecule: ribosomal RNA, 243 nt
Filed under: uncultured bacterium
Lineage: Bacteria
Description: partial 16S ribosomal RNA
Rfam family: Bacterial small subunit ribosomal RNA
Source: RNAcentral
GUCCACGCCCUAAACGUUGUGCACUAGAUGUUGGGAGUUUCAACGCUCUCAGUGUCGCCGCUAACGCAUUAAGUGCACCGCCUGGGGAGUAUGCCCGCAAGGGUGAAACUCAAAGGAAUUGACGGGGGCCCGCACAAGCGGUGGAGCAUGUGGUUUAAUUCGAUGAUACGCGAAGAACCUUACCCGGGCUUGACAUCUUCUGGACAGGUGUAGAGAUACACCCUCCUUUAUGGCCGGAAGACA